CAGUAGCCACGGUAAUACAGAGGGUGCGAGCGUUAAUCGGAUUUACUGGGCGUAAAGCGUGCGCAGGCGGUUUUGUAAGACAGAGGUGAAAUCCCCGGGCUCAACCUGGGAACUGCCUUUGUGACUGCAAGGCUAGAGUACGGCAGAGGGGGAUGGAAUUCCGCGUGUAGCAGUGAAAUGCGUAGAUAUGCGGAGGAACACCGAUGGCGAAGGCAAUCCCCUGGGCCUGUACUGACGCUCAUGCACGAAAGCGUGGGGAGCAAACAGGAUUAGAUACCCCUGUAGUCCCUGUCUCUUAUAC
RNAcentral lists this ribosomal RNA (301 nucleotides) under uncultured bacterium. RNAcentral describes it as "partial 16S ribosomal RNA". It matches the Rfam family "Bacterial small subunit ribosomal RNA", at positions 509 to 807 of the family's 1533-position model. The record is from RNAcentral.